Molecule: ribosomal RNA, 253 nt
Filed under: uncultured bacterium
Lineage: Bacteria
Description: partial 16S ribosomal RNA
Rfam family: Bacterial small subunit ribosomal RNA
Source: RNAcentral
UACGGAGGGUGCAAGCGUUGUUCGGAAUUACUGGGCGUAAAGGGCGCGUAGGCGGCCGAUCAAGUCUGAUGUGAAAGCCCGGGGCUCAACCCCGGAAGUGCAUUGGAAACUGGUCGGCUUGAGUUCGGGAGAGGAGGGCAGAAUUCCCGGUGUAGGGGUGAAAUCCGUAGAUAUCGGGAGGAAAACCAGUGGCGAAGGCGGCCCUCUGGAACGUGACUGACGCUGAGGCGCGAAAGCGUGGGGAGCAAACAGG